GGGGAAUCUUCCGCAAUGGGCGAAAGCCUGACGGAGCAAGACCGCGUGGGGGAAGAAGGCUCUUGGGUUGUCAACCCCUUUUCUCAGGGAAGAAGUUCUGACGGUACCUGAGGAAUAAGCAUCGGCUAACUCCGUGCCAGCAGCCGCGGUAAGACGGAGGAUGCAAGCGUUAUCCGGAAUUAUUGGGCGUAAAGCGUCCGUAGGUGGCUUUUCAAGUCGGCGGCCAAAGACCGGGGCUUAACUCCGGAAAGGCCGUGGAAACUGAAAGGCUAGAGAAAGGUAGGGGUAGGGGGAAUUCCCGGUGUAGCGGUGAAAUGCGUAGAGAUCGGGAAGAACACCGGUGGCGAAAGCGCCCUACUGGACCUUAUCUGACACUGAGGGACGAAAGCUAGGGGAGCGAAAGGGAUUAGAUACCCCAGUAGUC
RNAcentral lists this ribosomal RNA (424 nucleotides) under uncultured cyanobacterium. RNAcentral describes it as "bacterial SSU rRNA". It matches the Rfam family "Bacterial small subunit ribosomal RNA", at positions 356 to 795 of the family's 1533-position model. The record is from RNAcentral. Lineage: Bacteria; Bacillati; Cyanobacteriota.